GGGCGAAUGGUCUAGGGGUAUGAUAUUCGCUUUGCAUUUUCUCUUGAUUUCCUAUCUUAAAUCAUAGAAUUUCUCUGCUUGCGAAGGGUCCGGGGUUCAAAUCCCCGUUCGUCCA
Non-coding RNA from Xylaria sp. CBS 124048, 115 nucleotides. NCBI's taxonomy places the organism in Eukaryota, Fungi, Ascomycota, Sordariomycetes, Xylariales, Xylariaceae. The record is from the annotation of a GenBank genome assembly.